CUCAGCGGGCUUGGGUCGUCCGGCCGCGGGGUCAGGGAAGACCAGAGGACCACUAGCCCCAGGAAGCUUCCCACCACCAGCAAACUGCGUGGUGAAUUUGUAACCGAAAGGCCCAGGUGAGAUGUGCAAAUAUCACUGGAUUGGAGGAGCUCACUUGGAAAGCCAGUAUUCCUCCUGAGCUAAUGAAAAGAAAGGCUGUCGUCUUAUGCCAAAAGCAAUACCAACCUUGUUCACGGGCUGAGAUCUAGAGUGUGUAAUUCACGAAGUAUGAAUCUGCUGGGUAAUGUGAUAUGAAAAGCGAAUGCACCAUUUCUUGGUGAUGAUUCAGGUCAGCGUUGGGACCCAGGAAUCUCCUGUUAAUCAGUACCCUGGUGAUUUUGAUCCAGAGACGGGGUCUAUUAUCUGGUCCUGUUGUCAAGGCUGGUCUCAAACUCCUGGCCUCCAGCGAUCCUCCCUUUUUGGCCUCCCAAGAUGCUGGUAUUACAGGCAUGAGCCACCAUGGUCCACCCGGACUCCUUUUCAUAGGAGACAGUUCCCUAGGCAGAGACUGGGCUUGAAACAGGUAACUUACAAGGCAUCCUGUGAUCAUAAGAGAAUAAUUCCAUUUGAAAUCAGCAGCUGAAGUCCACCUGAAUAAUUAAGUCUUUCACUUGUGUUAUUUUCACAGGGGAGACAGUUUUUUAUUCUUAAGAAGUUCCUCUAAAGAAGAGGGUAGAGACUAGAACUGAAUGAGAUGGACAUAGAGAUGGCCAAGAAAAGCAUCGUCCUCUGCCAAGUCAUGGGGUCAUGUGUGGUGGAUGGUGACAUGGUGUCCUCAGCUCAGAGUCCAGCUGGGGGCUCAGAAGCAAGGUAACUGAAGGGAGAGAAUUAUUUGAGCACCUAGUGUGUGUAAGAUGCUUCACAUUUAUUAUUUCACCUAACCUCUACACAACCUGUUGUGGGUAUUACUGGUCUCAAGCUGGGAUUCAAAGCAGGUUUUUCCAACCUCAGAAUUCUUGCCAGACUGAUUAGCCUUCUGCAUCUGGAACAUAAAUGUUUUCAGGCAGCAUAAUGUGCAAGAGGUCAGAGCCUAAAGCUUUGUUAUUUUUUAAUUUCUCCACCAUGUCAACUCUGUUACAGGGAAGCCCAGCAGAGGGAAUUGUAUCCAUUUUGGGGCUACACUACCCCAAUGCUAUGCUGCAGCCAAGCUGAACUUCUAAGUUUCUAAAUGUAACUCACUUACCUUCAGGCCUUUGUACGGGGAGUUCUUUUUGCCUGAAAUACCUUCUGACAUCUUAACAUUACGCUUAGAUGUCAGUUACAAAAAAGCUUUUUCUAGACUCUCUCACAUGUCCCACUCCACACCCCUAUAUCUCUUCCCACCAAUGUACUAGGGUAGGUAUCCUGCUAGGUACUUCCACUGCACCCUCUACUUUUCUUCCCUAAUGAUUACCACUAUAUUGUAAUUGCUUAAUUUCUUUUUCCUAUACCCAGAUAAAAAUGUGUAUGAAGGUGGA
Molecule: long non-coding RNA, 1496 nt
Filed under: Homo sapiens (human)
Lineage: Eukaryota; Metazoa; Chordata; Mammalia; Primates; Hominidae
Description: HSALNT0323478
Source: RNAcentral